GCGUGAUGACGAGGCACUACGGUGCUGAAGCAACAAAUGCCCUGCUUCCAGGAAAAGCCUCUAAGCAUCAGGUAACAUCAAAUCGUACCCCAAACCGACACAGGUGGUCAGGUAGAGAAUACCAAGGCGCUUGAGAGAACUCGGGUGAAGGAACUAGGCAAAAUGGUGCCGUAACUUCGGGAGAAGGCACGCUGACACGUAGGUGAAGUGAUUUACUCACGGAGCUGAAGUCAGUCGAAGAUACCAGCUGGCUGCAACUGUUUAUUAAAAACACAGCACUGUGCAAACACGAAAGUGGACGUAUACGGUGUGACGCCUGCCCGGUGCCGGAAGGUUAAUUGAUGGGGUCAGCGCAAGCGAAGCUCCUGAUCGAAGCCCCGGUAAACGGCGGCCGUAACUAUAACGGUCCUAAGGUAGCGAAAUUCCUUGUCGGGUAAGUUCCGACCUGCACGAAUGGCGUAAUGAUGGCCAGGCUGUCUCCACCCGAGACUCAGUGAAAUUGAACUCGCUGUGAAGAUGCAGUGUACCCGCGGCAAGACGGAAAGACCCCGUGAACCUUUACUAUAGCUUGACACUGAACAUUGAGCCUUGAUGUGUAGGAUAGGUGGGAGGCUUUGAAGUGUGGACGCCAGUCUGCAUGGAGCCGACCUUGAAAUACCACCCUUUAAUGUUUGAUGUUCUAACGUGGACCCGUAAUCCGGGUUGCGGACAGUGUCUGGUGGGUAGUUUGACUGGGGCGGUCUCCUCCUAAAGAGUAACGGAGGAGCACGAAGGUUGGCUAAUCCUGGUCGGACAUCAGGAGGUUAGUGCAAUGGCAUAAGCCAGCUUGACUGCGAGCGUGACGGCGCGAGCAGGUGCGAAAGCAGGUCAUAGUGAUCCGGUGGUUCUGAAUGGAAGGGCCAUCGCUCAACGGAUAAAAGGUACUCCGGGGAUAACAGGCUGAUACCGCCCAAGAGUUCAUAUCGACGGCGGUGUUUGGCACCUCGAUGUCGGCUCAUCACAUCCUGGGGCUGAAGUAGGUCCCAAGGGUAUGGCUGUUCGCCAUUUAAAGUGGUACGCGAGCUGGGUUUAGAACGUCGUGAGACAGUUCGGUCCCUAUCUGCCGUGGGCGCUGGAGAACUGAGGGGGGCUGCUCCUAGUACGAGAGGACCGGAGUGGACGCAUCACUGGUGUUCGGGUUGUCAUGCCAAUGGCACUGCCCGGUAGCUAAAUGCGGAAGAGAUAAGUGCUGAAAGCAUCUAAGCACGAAACUUGCCCCGAGAUGAGUUCUCCCUGAGACUUAGAGUCUCCUGAAGGAACGUUGAAGACGACGACGUUGAUAGGCCGGGUGUGUAAGCGCAGCGAUGCGUUGAGCUAACCGGUACUAAUGAACCGUGAGGCUUAACCUUACA
This 1391-nucleotide ribosomal RNA is filed under the name Salmonella enterica subsp. enterica serovar Typhimurium. RNAcentral describes it as "partial 23S ribosomal RNA". It matches the Rfam family "Bacterial large subunit ribosomal RNA", at positions 1561 to 2925 of the family's 2925-position model. The record is from RNAcentral. Lineage: Bacteria; Pseudomonadati; Pseudomonadota; Gammaproteobacteria; Enterobacterales; Enterobacteriaceae.